This is an RNA transcript of Rosa rugosa (rugosa rose), 5022 nucleotides long. RefSeq lists it as uncharacterized. The record is from RefSeq and is a predicted model, not a curated record. The transcript has 3 exons. NCBI's taxonomy places the organism in Eukaryota, Viridiplantae, Streptophyta, Magnoliopsida, Rosales, Rosaceae.
CAAUAUGUCAUGUGAUUGUUGAUGUUGUGGUGAGAAAGCGUAAAGGAGUCUAAGUAUAACAUUUGAGUCAUGAGGGACUUUUAAAUGUUUGAGUAUAACAUUUGAGUCAUGUGGGACUUUUAAAUGUUUCGAUAUACGGAUCUUACGUCACAGUGGUGAUAGAGACAAUUAUUAUCGUAAGGCUGAACCUUGGCCGAGGUGACAGGUUACGAUUCAGUUAGAGCUCUAGUCUGUCUGCCAUCGUAUGUCAUGAGAGUAGCACGUGGGUUACUUGGGAUCAUGAAUACGUAUUUAUUAUUGAGAGAGUGUCGGUUGAUGGGACAUUGUUUUAGAAUGGGUGGUGAAAUUAGUGUUGGAUGCUUUAAAAUGGAUUUUUGUGUUGAGGAAUAAGUAUGAAGAGGUUGCUUUAUUAUUUUGUUUUGAGUUUACUCAUACGAGCUUCAAAAGCUUAUCGGGUUUGUUGUUUGCAAUCCCGGUGCACUAUUCCAUUGUGUAGGGAUUAAUCCUGUGUAGGGAUCAGGGUGGAGAUCGAGUGGUGUAAUGCAUUGUAUUAGGUUCGAACCUAAUUUUUUAUUAUUGUUGUUGUGUAUGCUCUUAUAGAGCUUUACAUUUUAUUUGGUGAGUUAGUGAUGUAAUAAUUGACUCAGUGGGAUUGAGAUUUGUAAUUUCUGUUGUUGUGUGGUUCAUUUGGAAAAAAUUUCCGAGUGUUAUAAACAGUUUAGUUGAGUUUUCAUGUUUCGGAUUUGAAUUUAAUUAUGAAAAAUUCGGGGCGUGAUAGUGUGGUAUCAGAGCGCAAGGUAAAUAUUUGGUGACAAUCAAUACUACUCGAGUGAUGGCCCGUCUGCAGCGGAUCCCCAUCGUAUGCUUUUCGGUAUUGAUAUAGUCAUUGGGUAUGUGAGAGUGUUAGGAGUUGUCUAGGACGUUAGGUCGUCUUAGGAACUUUGUGUAGUCUCGUUGAGUUGUAGUCCUUUGAGGAAUGGGAACCCCAAGAUAGAACUCUUGGUAGACUUAGAAAAUGUUGGUUGUUGAUGUGUGUCAUCUUUGUAUUAGUGUCUUGGGUAAUACGGUUUUAGUUAUGAUGUAUUCCCAUGUUUAAGUUUUUAUACAAGUGUUAAUCAAGUGUUGUUAUACUCUCUAGGUGAUGGAUCCUCAGAGAGGCAGGAUCAGGGGUAGAGGCAUGGUUCCCUCUCAGGAGGAUAGGAAUGAGGUGGUGCAACCUGUUUUGCCUGUUGUUGGGGCAGUUGAUGCUACACACCUAACAAGGCUGACUAGAGAGGUCAUUGGACUGGGGGCAGUGGCUUUUCAGGGUAGUACAGAUUACUUGUUGGCCGAUCAGUGGAUCGAGAACAUGGAGACCUACUAUGACAUGGUCGUCGGUACCGACAUGGAGAAGAAGAUUACAGCUAUAUUCCUCCUCCAGGGUGAAGCAGGAAGGUGGUGGGAUUUUGUACUAAGGACUAGGGAUAUAUCGACCAUGACUUGGGAGGGUUUUGUAGAACUCUUUCGGGACAUGUACAUUCCCGCUUCAGGGAGGGAGAAAUUGGGGAUUGACUUCAUUUCUCUAAUUCAGGGGACUAUGAGUGUCGAGGAGUACGAGGCCCGGUUCUCACAGUUGUACCGAUUUGUUAGGCCGAUGGAGUCAGUGUCUUUAGCUCGGAAGUUCCAGCGGGGACUGAACCUGGUCAUCAGAGAGAGGGUGGCUCCUUUUAAGUUGCCUACUGUAGCACUUAUCUUUACUAGUGCUUUGGCAUUUGAGCAGGAACUUCUGACUUCGCAAAGUAAGAUGACAACUAUAAGGGAUUUUCGAGGGAAGGGAAAGGCAGUUAUUGAAAGCAGUAGUGCAUCAGAUACUCAGGGCGAGUCUUGGAAAAGGCGGAGGACUCAUCAGCAGGCCCCAGUUGGAGUCACAGCAGAACCUGUUAGGGCUGUACCUAUUAAGCAAGGUAUGUCAUUGACAUGUUACAACUGCGGAGUUGUGGGCCAUCUAGCCAGUGCGUGCUCGAAGCAGAAGAGCAGAGUAUGUUUUAGAUGCCGUCAGACAGGGCAUUUAGCCAGAGAGUGUAACCGACCUCAGGAUAGUUGACAGGGGACCCAGAAGAGACAACUACCUUCAGAGGCAGCAUAGAGUGUUUGCUAUGGGUCAGCAGAGUCCAAGUGUGAAAGGCACCUCAUCAGCCUUCAUUUCAGGUUAAUGUAAUGUGUGAUACUAGUGUAUUUCGUGCUUUUAUGUUUGAGUUGUUUGUGUAAUUUUGAUGUGUGGAAGACUUGUUUUGACAUUGUGAAAUGAUGACUGUAACAGAAUGUUGUAAUUUUGAUUUGAGUUGAAAGGAAGGUUUUUUUUUUUUUUUUUCCAAAUUCUUGUGAUGCUAACUAGGUUAGGAAGUAAGGAAUACUAAAAUUAAAUUCAUAACUACUGAUUUGAGUGUUGAAGGUCCUUCUGAGUGGACAAUUGGAUCGGAUGGUGGGUUGAGAUUAAGAUCAAGAUUGUAUGUUCCAAGUAGUGAUAAUCUCAAGGAGGAAGUCAUGCGGGAAUCACAUCGAUCUCGAUACACUGUACAUCCAGGGAGCACCAAGAUUAUAUGGAUCUACAAAGACAGUUUUGGUGGAAUGGGAUGAAGAAAGAUGUGGCAGAGUAUGUGUCUAAGUGUCUUACCUGCUAACAAGUGAAGGCAGAACAUCAGAGACCUGCAGGUAUGUUGAAACCAUUACCAAUCCUUGUGUGGAAAUGGGAACAGAUCUCUAUGGACUUUGUGACUGGAUUACCUAGGUCCAGGCAAAGUCAUGAUUCGAUAUGGGUGAUUGUUGACCGUUUGACAAAGUCAGCACAUCUUCUUCCUAUGUCAAAGACAUACUCGGGUGAUGCCUUGUGCAAGUUGUGUGUUAAUGAGAUAGUAAAGCUUCAUGGUGUGCCUGUAUCGAUUGUUUCAGAUCAGGAUGCUCGAUUCACUUCGAAAUUCUGGGGUAGAUUCCAUAAGGCAUUUGGAACAUCCUUAUCUAUGAGUACAGCUUUUCAUCCAUAGACAGAUGGGCAGACUGAAAGAGUAAAUCAGGUGAUGGAGGAUAUGUUGAGAGCUUGUGUCUUGGACUUCAAGGGAAGUUGGGCGGACCAUCUACCGUUGGUGGAGUUCACCUACAACAACAGUUAUCACUCCAGUAUCGGCAUGGCUCCAUAUGAGGCUCUUUAUGGUAGGCCAUGUAGAACUCCUAUCUGUUGGGCGGAAAUUGGAGAUAAAGAGUUCUUGGGUCCUGAGAUUGUCCAGGAGAUUACCUAAAAGAUCACUAUUAUCCGGGAUAGGAUCCGAACAACACAGAGUAGAUAGAAGAGCUAUGCUGAUUUAAAGAGAAGACAUGUUGAGUUUGAAGAGGGUGACCAUGUGUUCUUGAAGGUCUCGCCAAUGAAAGGCGUGGUGAGAUUCAGCAAGAAGGGAAAGUUAGCACCAAGGUAUGUUGGGCCUUUUGAGAUACUAGAAAAGAGAAUUGGCAUACCGGCUUGCCUUACCACCUAGUAUGUCUGGUGUACACAAUGUCUUCCAUGUGUCUAUGCUCAGGAAGUACGUCCAAGAUGAGUCCCACGUGAUUGAUCAUGGUAUUAUCGAAGUCAAUACGGAUGUGACUUUUGUGGUGGAACCUGACUUAGUGAAAGUGUUGUGGAGUCAUCAUGAUGAGGGUGAUGCCUCAUGGGAAUUGGAGACGGACUUGAGAGCUAAAUAUCCACAGUUGUUUAUCGAUGAAUGUGCUUGAAUUUCGGGACGAAAUUCCUUUAAGGGAGGUAGAUUGUAAUAACCUCAAUUUCUAAAUUAAUUUCAUGUAUUUUGUGUGAAAUUAAUAAAAGUCUCAUUUGCACGAAUUUUAGUUUCGAAUACUUGCUCUUUCGGAUUUAUCAAAGAAUCGAAAUUAUUUGAAAUAACAAAAACCUCGAAACGCUCGAUUUAGAAAUUGACUUUUUAUACGUUAGGAAUCUGCAAAAACUUCCUUCACGAAAGUUGUAGAGCGCGUCGAUACGAGUUUGUGCAUAUGCGGAACGAAAAAAUCAGAGUUCGUACGAAGAAGUUAUGACCGUCGGAAAAUUUUCCAUUUUUGGUAUAUAUAGGAUAUUUUCGGAAAAUUCUUCAUAAUCCCAAAAAUUUCCAAAUUUGGAAAUUUUCUUCUCUCCUUUCUCUCUCGGCUGAAGCCUAGAGAAUCCCAUAAAGUCCUUCGACCCGACUCGGACCCGCGCGACCCGACCCGGCUUUUCCUCCCAUUUCCAGCGUUCUCCGGCCAAGCCACCACCACAGACCUCUUCGCCGUCACCUCCCCGACCUCCCUCUGGUGCUCGACGACGACAACAAUCACCAGAAAUAGGAGAUCGGAGCAAGGAAUCCGACCCGGUCAGAUUUUCCCGAUUCUGGCAUCUUCUCGGCCGAUCCUCACGUGUACAGAAUCCUCUAAAUCACGCUCAUAUAAGCCUUGAAGGACGAUUCAAAGUGUGGAGCAAAAGAUCAAGGGUUGAAGUUCAACGGUGGAGAUCGGAUAUGGAAAUCAGACGGUGGAGAUUGAUCGAACUUGUGAGCUUGAUCUAGGCUGAUCUAGACCGAUUCAGACUUAGCUCCAGGUGAUUGACGGAUUUAUUUUGGGCGAACGAUUGUGAUUGUGAUUUUGAGCUGUUAAGAAGACGCAGCUGGAUUAGAGGUGAAAGGAUUAAUCCUGCAGGUCAGGACGAUCAGGGUGGAGAUCGAGUGGUGUAAUGCAUUGUACUAGGUUCAAAUCUAAUUGUUUUGUUAUUGCUGUUGUGUAUGCUCUUAUAGAGCUUUACAUUUUAUUUGGUGAGUUGGUGAUGUAAUAAUUGACUAAGUGGGAUUGAGAUUUGUAAUUUUUGUUGUUGUUGUGUGGUUCAUUUGGAAAAAAUCUCCGAGUGUUAUAAACAGGUUAGUUGAGUUUUCAUGUUUCGGAUUUGAAUUUAAUUAUGAAAAAUUCGGGGCAUGACAGCUGCUUACAGAAAUUGGUAAAAACCUGCUUUCAUAAGCUAAAAACUAUAACUGCUUA